RNAcentral lists this ribosomal RNA (478 nucleotides) under uncultured bacterium. RNAcentral's name for it is "partial 16S ribosomal RNA". It matches the Rfam family "Bacterial small subunit ribosomal RNA", at positions 28 to 523 of the family's 1533-position model. The record is from RNAcentral.
GACGAACGCUGGCGGCGUGCUUAACACAUGCAAGUCGAACGGUAAGGCCCUUCGGGGUACACGAGUGGCGAACGGGUGAGUAACACGUGGGUGAUCUGCCCUGCACUUCGGGAUAUGCCUGGGAAACUGGGUCUAAUACCGGAUAGGACUCCGGACUGCAUGGUCUGGGGUGGAAAGCUUUUGCGGUGUGGGAUGGGCCCGCGGCCUAUCAGCUUGUUGGUGGGGUGAUGGCCUACCAAGGCGACGACGGGAAGCCGGCCUGAGAGGGUGACCGGCCACACUGGGACUGAGAUACGGCCCAGACUCCUACGGGAGGCAGCAGUGGGGAAUAUUGCACAAUGGGCGCAAGCCUAAUGCAGCGACGCCGCGUGAGGGAUGACGGCCUUCGGGUUGUAAACCUCUUUCAGCAUCGACGAAGCGAAAGUGACGGUAGGUGCAGAAGAAGGACCGGCCAACUACGUGCCAGCCGCCGCGGUAA